This 210-nucleotide unclassified non-coding RNA is filed under the name uncultured fungus. Its description in RNAcentral is "sequence contains ITS1". The record is from RNAcentral. Lineage: Eukaryota; Fungi.
UUAACUUAUUUGCUUGUUUAAUCAGAGAUUCACUAUAAUACAGAAGGGUUUUGUACCUCCGGCGGUCGCCCCGCGCCCGGUGAGGGGCGCCGGGCUGCGGUGCCCGGUGAGGGGCCCCGCGCCGCCGAAGCAACUUGGACGAGUUCGCGAUGGUUUUUAGCAGCCUUUCGGCCUCUAAUAAUGAUCCCUCCGCUGGUUCACCAACGGAGA